This 650-nucleotide ribosomal RNA is filed under the name uncultured bacterium. RNAcentral's name for it is "bacterial SSU rRNA". It matches the Rfam family "Bacterial small subunit ribosomal RNA", at positions 853 to 1500 of the family's 1533-position model. The record is from RNAcentral.
GAACGCACUAAGUUGACCGCCUGUGGUGUACGGCCGCAAGGUAAAACUCAAAUGAAUUCACGGGGGCCCGACACAAGCGGUGGAGCAUGUGGUUUACAUCGAUGCAAUUCGAAGAACCUUACCAUCCCCUUACAUCCAGAGAAGCGACUAGAGAUAGACGUGUGCCUUCGGGAACUCUGUGACAGGUGCUGCAAACACAUCGUCAGCUCGUGUGUCGAAAUGUUGGGUUAAGUGCCGCAACGAGCGCAACCCCUAUCCUUAUUAGCCAGCGUGUAGUGGCGGGACCUUUAAGGAGACUGUCGGUGAUAAACCGCAGGAAUGUGGGGGAGGAAUCAAGUCAUCAUGGCCCUUACGCGAUGGCCUACACACGUGGUACAAUGGCAGGUACCGAGGGCAUCAAUACCAGGAGGUGGAGCGAAUACCACAAACAAAGUCGUAAUCGGGAUUGGAGUUUGCAACUCGAUUCCAUGAAGUAGGACUCGAAGCUAAUCGUAGAUCAGAAUGUGGAUGGUGAAUACGUUCCCGGGCCUUUUACACACCGCCCGCCACCCCAUGGGAGUGGGAUGCAAAAGAAGUGGCUAGUUUAACCAUUGGGGGAGGACGGGACCCACUUAUGAUUUAUGACUGGGGUGAAGUCGUAACAAGGUACC